Molecule: transfer RNA, 62 nt
Filed under: Nysius plebeius
Lineage: Eukaryota; Metazoa; Arthropoda; Insecta; Hemiptera; Lygaeidae
Also listed under: 5 other names
Description: tRNA-Gly
Rfam family: tRNA
About the family: Transfer RNA (tRNA) molecules are approximately 80 nucleotides in length. Their secondary structure includes four short double-helical elements and three loops (D, anti-codon, and T loops).
Source: RNAcentral
ACUUCUUUAGUAUAAAUAAUAUAUUUGACUUCCAAUCAAAAGAUCUUAAUAAAGAAGAAGUA